Long non-coding RNA from Oreochromis niloticus (Nile tilapia), 448 nucleotides. RefSeq lists it as uncharacterized. Lineage: Eukaryota; Metazoa; Chordata; Actinopteri; Cichliformes; Cichlidae. The record is from RefSeq and is a predicted model, not a curated record. The transcript is spliced from 2 exons.
CCACCUCCUGACAGCAGCAGUUUUACCAUAAUGGUGGUAUUUUGUGAUGAGGCCUUGUGUGUACGUACAGCCUUGAUGUUAGCUAGCGGUACUUGGAGGUCAUGCCUGUCAGUUGACGAGAGUGUGAUUGUAUAUCGAGCCAAAAUAGCCAGACUUUGGUUAUUUUAUAUUCUACAUCUACGUUAUCUCCAGUUUCUGGUAACAGAUUAUGUAAACUUGUGGCAGCAAGGACAGAAUUGAUGACAGGGACUACGAACUGUUGGCUAGUAUUAGCCAUGCUAGUCGGUUUGUGGCGACACCGAAAUCUUAAUUCCUGUGCAAGCUGCGCUUCCGCCUCCUGCUAAGGUCAGAGCUGUAAGGGAGGAAGAGAGGUGCGCUUAACUAAGAGUUCACCUUCUAUACUAGUAAGCAUUUAUCAAAAUUUCUGGUGAUUUUUAAAAAGGGCAAA